Synchiropus splendidus (mandarinfish) is the source of this 337-nucleotide long non-coding RNA. RefSeq lists it as uncharacterized. The transcript has 3 exons. The record is from RefSeq and is a predicted model, not a curated record. Lineage: Eukaryota; Metazoa; Chordata; Actinopteri; Syngnathiformes; Callionymidae.
GGCUGUCUGAAGUCGAUCAGUUUCGGUGCCCAGCCUGCACACCCUCAAUGUUAGCUGUCUCAGUGGAUGGGAACCGCAAGCUUUAUCGCUUUAAGAGCCAUUCAGGACCAAAUGGCUUUUUCGAAGGUGUCUUUUUGGCCAACGACACAGAGGUGACCUCUUUUGUCAACCACAUCAGGGCAUCAACAGGACAUAAUCCUGGGAAAGGCAGGUGUGGUGGAAGCGAAUGGGUGGCUGCACGAGAGUCCUGAGGAGCUCAAGAAAUUGGCUGGAGAGUUGUCUAUUCAGGAAGACACUGUUCAGCAAUGGGUGUCUGAUGUUCAACAGUGGACUGCAG